RNAcentral lists this non-coding RNA (26 nucleotides) under Mus musculus (house mouse). The record is from RNAcentral. Lineage: Eukaryota; Metazoa; Chordata; Mammalia; Rodentia; Muridae.
AGCCAAAACAGGGGCCUCCCAGACAC